AGAGUUUGAUCAUGGCUCAGAUUGAACGCUGGCGGCAGGCUUAACACAUGCAAGUCGAGCGGUAACAUUUCUAGCUUGCUAGAAGAUGACGAGCGGCGGACGGGUGAGUAAUACUUAGGAAUCUACCUAGUAGUGGGGGAUAGCUCGGGGAAACUCGAAUUAAUACCGCAUACGACCUACGGGAGAAAGGGGGCAACUUGUUGCUCUCGCUAUUAGAUGAGCCUAAGUCGGAUUAGCUAGAUGGUGGGGUAAAGGCCUACCAUGGCGACGAUCUGUAGCUGGUCUGAGAGGAUGAUCAGCCACACCGGGACUGAGACACGGCCCGGACUCCUACGGGAGGCAGCAGUGGGGAAUAUUGGACAAUGGGGGAAACCCUGAUCCAGCCAUGCCGCGUGUGUGAAGAAGGCCUUUUGGUUGUAAAGCACUUUAAGCAGUGAAGAAGACUCUUCGGUUAAUACCCGGAGACGAUGACAUUAGCUGCAGAAUAAGCACCGGCUAACUCUGUGCCAGCAGCCGCGGUAAUACAGAGGGUGCAAGCGUUAAUCGGAAUUACUGGGCGUAAAGCGAGCGUAGGUGGCUUGAUAAGUCAGAUGUGAAAUCCCCGGGCUUAACCUGGGAACUGCAUCUGAUACUGUCAGGCUAGAGUAGGUGAGAGGAAGGUAGAAUUCCAGGUGUAGCGGUGAAAUGCGUAGAGAUCUGGAGGAAUACCGAUGGCGAAGGCAGCCUUCUGGCAUCAUACUGACACUGAGGCUCGAAAGCGUGGGUAGCAAACAGGAUUAGAUACCCUGGUAGUCCACGCCGUAAACGAUGUCUACUAGUCGUUGGGUCCCUUGAGGACUUAGUGACGCAGCUAACGCAAUAAGUAGACCGCCUGGGGAGUACGGCCGCAAGGUUAAAACUCAAAUGAAUUGACGGGGGCCCGCACAAGCGGUGGAGCAUGUGGUUUAAUUCGAUGCAACGCGAAGAACCUUACCUGGUCUUGACAUAUCUAGAAUCCUGCAGAGAUGCGGGAGUGCCUUCGGGAAUUAGAAUACAGGUGCUGCAUGGCUGUCGUCAGCUCGUGUCGUGAGAUGUUGGGUUAAGUCCCGCAACGAGCGCAACCCUUGUCCUUAGUUACCAGCGGGUUAAGCCGGGAACUCUAAGGAUACUGCCAGUGACAAACUGGAGGAAGGCGGGGACGACGUCAAGUCAUCAUGGCCCUUACGACCAGGGCUAC
RNAcentral lists this ribosomal RNA (1216 nucleotides) under Streptococcus pneumoniae. RNAcentral's name for it is "bacterial SSU rRNA". It matches the Rfam family "Bacterial small subunit ribosomal RNA", at positions 8 to 1217 of the family's 1533-position model. Lineage: Bacteria; Bacillati; Bacillota; Bacilli; Lactobacillales; Streptococcaceae. The record is from RNAcentral.